Molecule: non-coding RNA, 26 nt
Filed under: Cricetulus griseus (Chinese hamster)
Lineage: Eukaryota; Metazoa; Chordata; Mammalia; Rodentia; Cricetidae
Also listed under: 1 other name
Source: RNAcentral
GUGGGCUGGAGAGAUGGCUCAGAGGU